RNAcentral lists this ribosomal RNA (467 nucleotides) under uncultured bacterium. RNAcentral's name for it is "partial 16S ribosomal RNA". It matches the Rfam family "Bacterial small subunit ribosomal RNA", at positions 29 to 507 of the family's 1533-position model. The record is from RNAcentral.
ACGAACGCUGGCGGCGUGCUUCACACAUGCAAGUCGAACGGAAAGGCCCUGCUUUUGUGGGGUGCUCGAGUGGCGAACGGGUGAGUAACACGUGAGUAACCUGCCCUUGACUUUGGGAUAACUCCAGGAAACUGGGGCUAAUACCGGAUAGGAGCUCCUGCUGCAUGGUGGGGGUUGGAAAGUUUCGGCGGUUGGGGAUGGACUCGCGGCUUAUCAGCUUGUUGGUGGGGUAGUGGCUUACCAAGGCUUUGACGGGUAGCCGGCCUGAGAGGGUGACCGGCCACAUUGGGACUGAGAUACGGCCCAGACUCCUACGGGAGGCAGCAGUGGGGAAUAUUGCACAAUGGGCGGAAGCCUGAUGCAGCAACGCCGCGUGCGGGAUGACGGCCUUCGGGUUGUAAACCGCUUUCGCCUGUGACGAAGCGUGAGUGACGGUAAUGGGUAAAGAAGCACCGGCUAACUACGUG